UAAAUAUCAAAAUUUGAUUCUGGUUUUAAAAAAUUAUUUUAAGAAUAGUAUAUAAUAUGUAAGUAUUUGCGUGAUCUAUUAAUUCUUUAAAAAAGUAUUUAAUAAUUUAUUAAUAAUCGCAGUUUUUAUUUUUAUAUAUUUAAUAAUUUAAGAUGUAGCUAAUUUUUUUAUAAAACUAGCAAAAAUUGUGCCAGCAGCUGCGGUUACACAAUUAGUUAUAAUUAUUUUUAUUAGAAUAUUAUUAGUUUAAUAUAGAUUGAUUUAUAAUUUUAAUUUUAUUCUUAGGUGAAAUUUGAAUUUUAACUUAUAAAUUAGGUCAGUAAAUUAUUAUAGGAAAUUCUUAUUAAGGACUAGGAUUAGAUACCCUAUUAUUUUGAAUGUAAAAAGUUCUUCUUAUUAUUAAUAGUUAUUAUCUUUAAACUGAAAGAAUUUGACGGUAAUUUAAUCAUUUUAGAGGAACCUGUUCUGUAAUUGAUAAUCCACGAUAAAUGUUACCUUAAUAAUGUUUGUAUAUCUCUGUCUGUUGAAUGUUUUAUUAGAAAAUUUUCUUUAAUUUUUAUAGAAAUUUAUGUCAGGUCAAGGUGCAGCUAUUUUAAGGGUUGAAAUGGGUUACAUUUAAUAAUAUAAAUUAUUGGAUUAUUAAAUAUUUUCUUAGUAUGAAAUUGGAUUUAAUUGUAAUGUAUAAUAUAUAUUAUUCAUGAUAUAUGUUCUUGAUUAAGUACAUAUCGCCCGUCGCUCUCAUAAUUAAAGUGAGAUAAGUCGUAACAAAGUAGUCCUAUCGGAAGAUGGGUCUGGAAUUAUA
This 802-nucleotide non-coding RNA is filed under the name Cazira horvathi. The record is from RNAcentral. Lineage: Eukaryota; Metazoa; Arthropoda; Insecta; Hemiptera; Pentatomidae.